GAUUCCCUCAGUAACGGCGAGUGAAGCGGGAACAGCUCAAGACGUUAAUCUCAUAGGGAAUAUUUCUCUGUGCGAGUUGUAGUCUAUGGACACUUCUUCUGCAGCUAAGCAAUCGGACAAGUCUUUUGGAAUAAAGCGCCAGAGAGGGUGAUAGCCCCGUCUGCUGAAUGCUUGGUUGCUAUAUGUAGAAAUGUCUGAGAGUCGGGUUGUUUGGGAAUGCAGCCCUAAGCGGGAGGUACACACCUUCUAAAGCUAAAUAUUCAGGCAAGAGACCGAUAGCGAACAAGUACCGUGAGGGAAAGUUGAAAAGCACUCUGGAGAGAGAGUGAAAAGUACGUGAAACCAUGGGUAGGGAACCGCUUGCACGGUACACUGAGCCUGAGCAAUCAGGCCGCCCAGCACCAGUUUUGAAUUUCCUGUUGGAAAAGCCCAAGGCAAAGGUAGCGGCCAAUUUAUUUGGCUGUGUUAUAGGGCCUUGGGUGUUACAAUGGGUCAGACUGAGGAACGCGGCAUCCCUUUUUUGUGAGGGCGCCAGGUGCAGCUUGGCCUUGGGCUUUGGUCGGUAGAGACUGCAUGCAGACUCUGCUGGCUUCAUUGCUUAAGCCUACCAGGCUGGCGCUGGUUGUUUUAUUGCCAAGGGUAGCUGGGAAGUGCUGAAC
This 659-nucleotide ribosomal RNA is filed under the name Coemansia umbellata. Its description in RNAcentral is "eukaryotic LSU rRNA". It matches the Rfam family "Eukaryotic large subunit ribosomal RNA", at positions 73 to 631 of the family's 3401-position model. The record is from RNAcentral. Lineage: Eukaryota; Fungi; Kickxellomycota; Kickxellomycetes; Kickxellales; Kickxellaceae.